Molecule: microRNA precursor, 59 nt
Filed under: Danio rerio (zebrafish)
Lineage: Eukaryota; Metazoa; Chordata; Actinopteri; Cypriniformes; Danionidae
Also listed under: 1 other name
Description: Dre-Mir-92-P1a1_pre stem-loop
Rfam family: mir-92 microRNA precursor family
About the family: This family represents the microRNA precursor mir-92. Human miR-92 has two predicted hairpin precursor sequences: mir-92-1 on chromosome 13 and mir-92-2 on chromosome X. miR-92 has also been cloned from mouse embryonic stem cells. The mature sequence is excised from the 3' arm of the hairpin.
Source: RNAcentral
AGGUUGGGAUUGGUAGCAAUGCUGUGUGUUUUGAAGGUAUUGCACUUGUCCCGGCCUGU